RNAcentral lists this ribosomal RNA (655 nucleotides) under Symbiodinium sp. Mf1.05b. RNAcentral's name for it is "23S ribosomal RNA". It matches the Rfam family "Bacterial large subunit ribosomal RNA", at positions 1904 to 2626 of the family's 2925-position model. The record is from RNAcentral. Lineage: Eukaryota; Dinophyceae; Suessiales; Symbiodiniaceae.
UCUGUCCAAGAAACCGAAACGUUGGCCGUAACUAUAACGGUCCUAAGGUAGCAAAUUUCCUUGUCGUCUUAAUAACGACCUGCAUGAAACAUAGAACGAUUUGAUAGCUGUCUUGCACACACAUCAUGGUAAAAUAUUCAUCAGUACAAAUAAUAUGCUGCUGACACUAAAGGACAAAAAGACCCUUUGAAGCUUUAUAGGGAUAAAACUCAGCUUUAAAUCAACAAACAAUGAAAUCCAUCUUGUUGCUUCUCCGCUUUUUAAAUUGCUAAAGCCUUACAAGAUUUACAACAUCAAGACCACUGUUUAAUUGGGGCGAUAACCUUAUCCACAGCCACCUAAGGUGAACAAAGCGAUACAAGGAUCCUAAAUACUAAUUUGACCAACUAAUAAGUGCAAAGAUACAUGUUUUGCUUAAUGGCCCAACAAGUCCUUCCCAGUACUUAAAUGCUAUCUUAAUGAGCUUUAAAUUAAUUUACCAGAGCGAAGCUACUCUACGGAUAACAGGCUUAAUUUCCGCAAUAUCCAAGGUCACAUUAUCAAGAAUAAAGCACCUCGAUGUCGGCUUAUCUCAACCAAGGUAAGUAGCCCAAAUAUUGGUGGGAGUGCUCAUCCCGUAAAAAGGUACGUGAGCUGGGUUCAAAACGAUGUAAAU